This 254-nucleotide ribosomal RNA is filed under the name uncultured bacterium. RNAcentral describes it as "partial 16S ribosomal RNA". It matches the Rfam family "Bacterial small subunit ribosomal RNA", at positions 524 to 776 of the family's 1533-position model. The record is from RNAcentral.
UACGAAGGGGGCUAGCGUUGUUCGGAAUUACUGGGCGUAAAGGGCGCGCAGGCGGCUGCUCAAGUCAGGCGUGAAAGGCCUGGGCUCAACCCGGGAAUUGCGCUUGAGACUGGGCUGGCUUGAGUGCGGGAGAGGAUGGUGGAAUUCCCAGUGUAGAGGUGAAAUUCGUAGAUAUUGGGAAGAACACCGGUGGCGAAGGCGGCCAUCUGGACCGCAACUGACGCUAAGGCGCGAAAGCGUGGGGAGCAAACAGG